UGACACAGGGAGGUAGUGACAAUAAAUAACAAUGCCGGGUCUACUAAGAUCUGGCAAUUGGAAUGAGAACAAUUUAAAUCCCUUAUCGAGGAUCAAUUGGAGGGCAAGUCUGGUGCCAGCAGCCGCGGUAAUUCCAGCUCCAAUAGCGUAUAUUAAAGUUGUUGCAGUUAAAAAGCUCGUAGUUGAAUUUCUGGUGGGAGCGAUCGGUCCAUCCUUCAUUGGUUGGAACCUGAUUGUCUCCCGCCAUCCAUGGAGAGAACUUAUCUGGCAUUAAGUUGUCGGGUUGGCAAUCUUCAUCUUUUACUGUGAAAAAAUUAGAGUGUUCAAAGCAGGCUUAUGCCGUUGAAUAUAUUAGCAUGGAAUAAUAAGAUAGGACUAUGGUACUAUUUUGUUGGUUUGUGCACCAUGGUAAUGAUUAAUAGGGACAGUUGGGGGUAUUCAUACUUCAGCGUCAGAGGUGAAAUUCUUGGAUCGCUGAAAGAUGAUCUUAGGCGAAAGCAUUUACCAUGGAUGUUUUCAUUAAUCAAGAACGAAAGUUAGGGGAUCGAAGAUGAUUAGAUACCAUCGUAGUCUUAACCAUAAACUAUGCCGACUCGGGAUUGGCAGUCGUUUAAUUAUGACCUUGUCAGCACCGUAUGAGAAAUCAAAGUCUUUGGGUUCCGGGGGGAGUAUGGUCGCAAGGCUGAAACUUAAAGGAAUUGACGGAAGGGCACCACCAGGAGUGGAGCCUG
This 731-nucleotide ribosomal RNA is filed under the name uncultured marine eukaryote. Its description in RNAcentral is "SSU rRNA". It matches the Rfam family "Eukaryotic small subunit ribosomal RNA", at positions 452 to 1185 of the family's 1831-position model. The record is from RNAcentral.